GGCGGGGGGGGGGGGUCCCUCAGCCCGAUUGUGAGAGGGUGCAGGCCAAGCUGAGGGACCCCACUGGUGCACC
This 73-nucleotide microRNA precursor is filed under the name Myotis davidii. RNAcentral's name for it is "mir-9193 microRNA precursor family". It matches the Rfam family "mir-9193 microRNA precursor family". Lineage: Eukaryota; Metazoa; Chordata; Mammalia; Chiroptera; Vespertilionidae. The record is from Rfam by way of RNAcentral.